CCGAAAGGCAGGAGUGCCUGCAAGGGAGCGCGGAGACAGGUGGUGCAUGGCUGUCGUCAGCUCGUGUCGUGAGAUGUUGGGUUAAGUCCCGCAACGAGCGCAACCCUCACCUCUUGUUGCCAUCAGGUCAUGCUGGGCACUCUAGAGGAACUGCCCCGGUCAACGGGGAGGAAGGCGGGGAUGACGUCAAGUCAUCAUGCCCCUUACGUCCUGGGCUACACACGUGCUACAAUGGCCGGUACAAAGGGAUGCCACACCGCGAGGUAGAGCUAAACCCAAAAAGCCGGUCUAAGUUCGGAUUGGAGUCUGCAACUCGACUCCAUGAAGGAGGAAUAGCUAGUAAUCGCGUAUCAGCACGACGCGGUGAAUACGUUCCCGGGCCUUGUACACACCGCCCGUCACACCACGAAAGCCAG
This 416-nucleotide ribosomal RNA is filed under the name uncultured bacterium. Its description in RNAcentral is "bacterial SSU rRNA". It matches the Rfam family "Bacterial small subunit ribosomal RNA", at positions 1001 to 1414 of the family's 1533-position model. The record is from RNAcentral.